Molecule: non-coding RNA, 32 nt
Submitted as: unclassified sequences
Source: Rfam
GUUUGACGAAGGAUAGACCUUAAUUCUCAUUC